GACGAACGCUGGCGGCGUGCCUAAUACAUGCAAGUAGAACGCUGAAGCUUGGUGCUUGCACCGAGCGGAUGAGUUGCGAACGGGUGAGUAACGCGUAGGUAACCUGCCUGGUAGCGGGGGAUAACUAUUGGAAACGAUAGCUAAUACCGCAUAAGAGUAGAUGUUGCAUGACAUUUGCUUAAAAGGUGCAAUUGCAUCACUACCAGAUGGACCUGCGUUGUAUUAGCUAGUUGGUGAGGUAACGGCUCACCAAGGCAACGAUACAUAGCCGACCUGAGAGGGUGAUCGGCCACACUGGGACUGAGACCCGGCCCAGACUCCUACGGGAGGCAGCAGUAGGGAAUCUUCGGCAAUGGACGGAAGUCUGACCGAGCAACGCCGCGUGAGUGAAGAAGGUUUUCGGAUCGUAAAGCUCUGUUGUAAGAGAAGAACGAGUGUGAGAGUGGAAAGUUCACACUGUGACGGUAUCUUACCAGAAAGGGACGGCUAACUACGUG
This 497-nucleotide ribosomal RNA is filed under the name uncultured bacterium. RNAcentral's name for it is "partial 16S ribosomal RNA". It matches the Rfam family "Bacterial small subunit ribosomal RNA", at positions 28 to 507 of the family's 1533-position model. The record is from RNAcentral.